UUACUUUUUCUCAAAAUCAGCACUAACAAUAUAAUCUAAGAUUAAUUUAUUUUGAUUAAAACAUAGGUCUUUAUAGGCAUUUUUUAUGCCGCUAUGAAAUAACUUUUCUAGCGAUGAAUGAUCUAUCUUCCGAAAUAAUGAAUUGAAUUCUUCCAAAAUACAAUUGGUUAUACAUUGAUAAUGCUAAAAUAACCUAAAUAUGUGACUACAAAUUAUACUGUGAAACAAAAACAACUCUUUAAAACAUCAUUUAUAUUGAAACAUAAAGUACCAAUUUAGCUAAUAUCAUAAACAACAACAACAGCAGCAAAAGAGCAACACUAAAACCCAACAUUAUAUCCACAUAAUAUAUAAUACUCCAUUUCAUUUAGCAUAAAUCUACUGUGGUUCCCUAUAUGUGGAAGUUUGAAGUAAAGUUGUCAUAACGACAUAAACGAUUCAAUCAUAUCCGAUAAGAAUAAAGAUAACAUAUGUAUUAUGCAUAUAGACACAACAGAUAUAUCUUAAUUGGAUGAAAGUUUAAAUGGGUAUGACUUAAACGGAGAUCGAUACCGUGUUUGAGCUCAAAAGAAGCUUGAGAAGCCAAUCACUCCAAGUGAGAAACAAACGAUUAAUCAUCACCAUUAAGAAUCUGAUAAUUUAAAUCAUUAAACUUCUUGUUAACUUUUAAAUUGUGUUGGUGAAUCCAGUAGAAAGGGCAAGGGAAAAGCUACACAAUUCAAAGAAUAUAAUCAUUGAGACUAAGUUGACUUUACCUCACUGUAGAUGAAGUUUAUCUGAUAUCUCACCAACAUGAAAAUCUCAUAACCAUCAAACUACAAAAAUUCCAUUUUAGAUUAACGUUUUAGAUAAUCUUUCUGAUUGACUCUGUAAUAAUUUUACCCUUCACCUAAAAGGUAAAAAAAAAUUGAAUUUAUUUCAUCUUCUUGACUACAAAACUAGUGAAAAGUAUUUGAGACUCAAACGAGAGAGUUAGGCUAGACUCCCAUUGUGGUCGUUUUUUUUUCAUUUCCUAUUUUAGUUCUACUGGAUGAUUCUAAAAAUUAGAUAACCACAAAUAUUUUAAGAUAAAUUUAAUUUUAAAAUAUUUAUACAAUUUAAUAACCAUAAGAUUUAUUUAUAUUAAUUAUUUGAAAUUUAGAAGAGGAGUAGAGGAAUUGUUUCAUCGCCCUAUGUCCAUGUUCAACCAGCCAGAUUUGAAGUUAUUUAAAGAUAGGGAAUAAUUCAUCUUUGUAGUUUCUAAAUUUAGACUUGAGAGACCUAUUCUUAAGCAAGGAGAAAAAGAAUAAUGGAAAGAGGAUCUGAUCGCUUAGCUUUAAUCACAUGAAAAAAUUGGCAAUAUGGGUCGUGGCCAAGUUUGCAAUUUGCCCUUUGGAUCCGUGAAUGUUUUUUUGUUGUCUUUAUGUGAAAACAAGUUCUUAACGUCUGAAGCGUAAAAGCAUUAUUAUUUUUGUGUAGAUAAAUAAUAAAGAACUUUGAUUCUAAUUUUGUUAAGCUUCUGAGAAUCACAAAGACACAACUUAUUUUCCUCUGGAUGGUUUGCUUAUCCAUUUACUUUAAUAUGAUUUCUGAAUCAAAAUCUAUGCGUUUUUGACCACACACUUAUCAUAUUAGUUUGUAUUAUUAUUGCAUAAUGAGGGUUCAAAGUUAGUAGAGUUUGCUACCAUGUGAAUUGUAUAGUCAGAAACAAACUUGUCAAGAUCAUGUUUAGAAGUUUAGAAGUUUUUCGUUUUUUUUAAGGCAAGUUUUAUGAUAAGAUAAAAAAAAUACAUAGAAAAUCAGAAAAUAUAAUGAAAUGAUGAUUUCUGAACCGGACCGGUGAUUUUGCAUUGGUCCUGGAUUUUACGCCUAGCCCAAUCUAUAACCUUGAGCUCUGUUUAUCUUCAGUCUUAUAGUUUUAAUGGUUUCUCUAAUUUAUCUGGUCUAGGGUCUCCAGAACACUAUUCUCUUAUCGGGCAUCCAUACUGCUGAAACACGUCGCAGUUCAUUGCAUGUCUUAUACAAUAAAUGAGACUUUUGUCUCUCCUUAAGUGUCUACAUCAGCAAGGAGGGAGGGGCAUUUUCUGACACGUGGCACGUUAAUUAUUUUCUGAUUUCAAAUGCUUUUGUUAUUUCUAGCGGGCUGGGCCUAUUGUUUUGUCUUUGUUUAAAAAUAGAUUUAUUUUCGUUUGGGCUUCGUUUAAUUUGUCUUUAUAUUACUGUUAUACUAAUUUUAACUAGGCUUUUAAGUUGUAGCCAGGUUUAACCAUAAUCUUUUUCAUCUCUUAGAAACUGUAGGCCUACCGAUUCCCUUUCACUUUCUCCUGCGAUGUAACGAUGUAGUUAUGACCUUUAAUCACGUUAUCCCACUAAACUCACAACCACCCCUCUUCAUUGCUUCUUUAAUUACACAUUUUAAAGCUUAAUUUUGUGUAUAUCUACACCUUCUGAGAGCCCCCUGCAAUUCCCUUACUUUCAUAAAACCUAUAAAUAUAUCGCCCAUGUUCUCUUUUAAUGGACGAUAGUUGGCAAUUUCUCAGUUUUAUUUCUCUGAUUUGAGUGAGGCGGCUACAAACAGUCAGUUCAGGCAAGAUGCCUAUGUGUUUCUCGGAAGCCAAUAAAGUAAUGAAAAGAGGAUAGACAAAUCCAGGAAUCAAUUAAUGUGCAACUAUUCAACACCUUAAAAAAAUGAAGUAUCUAGCUUAAUGUUUUGUAUUUCAUAUGAAGGAGCAACCCUUACUUCCGGUUUGGAGAAAUCCAUGUUUCUAUUAGAUUUACGGAGCAAACCGUGUUUGUUGAGGUCGCUGAAACCGAUUCCAGUGGAGAGUUUUGGGUUUUGCAAUUACUAACACCUUAUGGUUUUGGCCAACACCAACACAGAUUUUUUUUUCCAGGCCGCCUUUUCCUCAAUGCAACCUCCGGAACACAUUUCUACUUUUACCAAGAAAGUGUAACCAGCCAGAGCUUUCUACAAGACUAAGUUUUGUGGAUCUGACAUUGAUAGCUCCUCCACUCCUUCCAAGUAUGGCGGUGUACAGAAAAUUGAGUUAGCAACAAUUGUGGAGUUUAUUGUCUGUGUCGUGAAUUCACCACCUCAGGCGGUACGGUAGAAUUCCACUGCACUGGCCAAGUCGAUGACAUUGAGAAAACUGACGGACCAAUGCUUCAUCAUUAAAGCUUUGCUUACAAGGAGGUGGUGACUACCCUGGAAAUGAUAUUCUGGAUGCUGUGACUCUCACUAUUAACCCUCUCAUGUGAUGGGGAGCAGUGGUUCACAUAAUACCACAUGAAGUAACACUGCUCCAAUUUUUGAAGGAAGCAUGGCUGAGUCAGCAGUACUACCUGCCCAACCUGAUGCAUUUUUAGCACCCGAAAGGAUACCACAGAGCCUGAGAUCUCCAACCAUAGAGAUCCAUGACAAUAUUAAUAUAGGUGAAGAACCAAUUCCACACUGAACGUGCUAAGUUUGAGUCAAUAAUUUUUCUACAUUAUAUAGAUUGUCGUCUUUUUAGUUUGCUUGGUUAUAUACUUAUAUCAUAUAUAAAUACGUUGAUCUCAUUACUGUAGGAAUUUUUUACGGCUCUAGCUAUUACAUAUUCCUAAAAUUGUUUAAUUUUUUUAAUUUCCAAUACUUGAUUCAUCAUCAUAAAUUUUUGGAAUAGUAGAUGUAGCUUCUCUUUUGAUUAAACAACAAAUAUAGGACACCUUACUAUUUUAGUUGUAUACAAAACCAGACGUGAGUUUGCAUUAACUUAGGGCAUCUCCAAUGGUGUACUCACCAUUGGAAUCCUUAGGUAUAUUAUAUUAUUUUUUUUUCUAAAUAAUUAAGGAUUCUAAUCAAAUAAUUAUGUCCAAUGGUGUUAUUCAUUAGGAAUCCUUAAGAAUAAAAAAAUAAUAAAUUUGAAAAUAUUUUUAAUUUUAAAAAAAAAAAUCAAAACAUGUUAAAUUGAAAUAUUUAUUUAUUAAAUUGAAAUAUUUAUUUAAUACAUGAUUAAAUAUGAAAUACAACAAUUAUUAGUUUUCAUCACCAAAUUUGUUCCAAAUAUUUUCGAUCAAAUCAUUCAUCAAUUGGUAAUAUGUUUCUGGUAUCAUUUUUAAACACAAGACUUUCAAAAUUUAAUCCGAUUCAAAACCCUAUUAAACUCCUAUCGAAUGAUACCUCUAUCGAUUUGAAACCUUUAUUACAAACGAAAGAUACCCAAAAUCGAUUGAAACAUAAAUCGUGAUGAAACCCGAUUCGAUUGAAAACCCUAAUCCCCAAUUCCGUAACCUAAUUUGCGAAGAAAACCACAUGAAACCCUAUGUAAAUCCAAAGAAUCAGAGGAGAAAGAACAUAACAACCCGUCGAUUCAUCAACCCUACCCGGAGAGAGCGAAUCGCCAAUCGCAGAGACAAACUUUUUUUUCUCCUCUCCACUACAAAUGACACGAACCAGAAAAACCCUUCACGCGAUAGACAAAACUCAACUGCCACGUCAACAAGGAUUCACGCAAAAAAUUUUUUAGGAAAGGAUUGAUCCUUAAGCAAUAUGAGUUUAAUAUUAAUAUUAUAUGGUUAAUAGUGAAGGAUUUGUACUUUAGGAUUUAUUAAAAACCCCUGUUGUACAUGCUCUUACUUUUACUGACUCAGGUUGGCUAUGUGGAGAAGAUAAUUAUAAAAAGAGAAAGAAAAUAAUAAUUAAAUAUUAAUACACAAUCAAAACAUUUUAGUUUUGUUUCGAAAAUAAAAAUAACAAAACAAAACAAACAAAAAUGAUUAUUUUAUGACAAUCAUAAUCUGAGCUUGGUGAAAAGCUUAGUUAAAAAAUAAUAAAUUUAGACAAAAUACUUAAUAAAAUAAAUAUGAAAUCAAUAAAAACUAAUAAAAACUAAAAGAAGAGAAAUUCAUUUAUAAUAUUGCUUAACAUGUUUUAUAAAAUCCAAAUCAAUUAAAAAAAUGAAUCGCAUGAAAAAAAUGUUCAUUUGGUAAGCAAAAUCAAAGUUAAAGGAAUUAACAAGAAAAAGGUUAAUAACCAUAGUUAAAGAUUAAUACAUAAUAAAAAUAUAUAAUAUAAAAAA
Molecule: long non-coding RNA, 5036 nt
Organism: Brassica rapa (field mustard)
Lineage: Eukaryota; Viridiplantae; Streptophyta; Magnoliopsida; Brassicales; Brassicaceae
Source: RefSeq, a predicted model, not a curated record